This 1684-nucleotide long non-coding RNA is filed under the name Canis lupus familiaris (dog). RNAcentral's name for it is "lncRNA (ENSCAFG00040011917.1)". The record is from RNAcentral. Lineage: Eukaryota; Metazoa; Chordata; Mammalia; Carnivora; Canidae.
AAAUAUAGAAAAAAAGACAAUGGAAAUGUAGGAUGUUUUUAGUUGACAUCAAGAAAUACAUAUUUAAAAAUAAAGUAGAGAGACAUAUUUGAUAUUUAAAAAGAAACAAAAUUAGGGAUGCCUGGGUGGCUCAGCGGUUGAGUGACUGCCUCUGGCUCAGGUUGUGAUCCCAGGGCCCCGGGAUGGAGUCCCACAUCGGCGUCCCCGCAGGAAGCCUGCUUGUCUCUCUACCUAUGUCUCUACCUCUCUCUGUGUCUCUCAUAAAUAAAUAAAUAAAAUCUUCAAAAAAAAUCUUAAAAAGAAACAAAAAUAGAAAAUAAAAGAGAACACUUUAAAAGGCACAGAAGUUAAAAAAAAAAGUCCUUUGCAAAGAAUCAUAGUACAUAAAUCAGGACUGUGCAAAUUCAGUACUUAAUUAUGGAAAAUUUGCCAUGUUUUUUUCCAUUUUGCAGAUUCUCUCCAAAGAAUGAAUAGACACAGACCAGAAAUACAAACUAGUCCCAGAGGUGAUCAAAGCUGUAAGAAUAAGUGGCAAGGAAUAAAAGUAGCUAAAGAAAACAGCAGGAAUCUAGCAAGUGUGACAAAAAAGUGAAAAGGCAGGAAGUGUCCACAUCUUCCACAUGACAAAUGGAUUACAGAAGCUAAAAAAUAUCACGAGCACCUGAGGAUUAAGGACUGCAAACUGGAAGAGGAAAGGAAGUGUGACGAAGGACAAAGAAGAGGAUAAGACCUAUCUUGUGAGGUCCUCUGGAUGGAAUCCAGAUGAGGAGAACAAGGUACCCCAGCUGACAGGCAGACAGCACUAUCUCCCAGGUAUAUGAAUGAAACUGGCUUGGCUCUCUCAGCCAAUCAAUCCACUGCUUACCUGAUUGCAACUGCCCAGGAGAGUUCAGGACACAAUGCUUAUACAUUACAGAACUUCAAGAAUAUGAGUGUGUCAAAGGAUACCAUCUUCAGCCAUGCAUACUAACUGAAACAUUAGGUGUUGUCUCUGUGAUGCCAAACAUCUGGCUGAAAAUGGAAUAAAGCAGAGAAACAUCAGGAUAUAUUCACAUAUCCAGCUGUUUGGCAUUAGGUAACUAAGUUUCUAGUUCUCAUUCAGAUAUGUAGAGUCAGGGACGAUAUGGCCAUAUCUUCCUUCCUCUAAGGGUUACUAACUGGUGCAAGAGAGGAAAAGGGUUUAGGAAUGAUAAAUCAGGGUGUCAUGGUGUCAACACAUCCAAAGAGGCGAUUGAAUUCAAUUUCUGUUCUCUGGCUUUGAAACAAUAAGAUGAUUUUCCUCUAGUGACUUGCAAUGGCAGAGAACUGAAAAUGAAUUCCAAGAAGGAAGCCUCCAAGAGUGUUUAGUAACUAGAUGGGGCUUUGUUGCCAUUGUGGUAAGCUUUAAAGUUAGGACAUCCUGUGGUUUGGUAGGGAUUAGAAAAAGUGACCAGGAAGAGCUAUUAAGGAAGUGUUCUUGAAAACCCUUUUCUCAAACGAUUCCAUAAUUGUGUAACUUGUAUAUAGUUGCAGUACUUUCAUAGUGUACUGCACAAGACAUCUUACAUGAUAAAUUACCUACAACAUUUGGAUAAUGGAAGGCAAGGGCCAUUUAAUAUUACAUACAAUGAGCAAAGUAUUGCAGUUUCUAAUUAAGUGCCCAAGUCUGUUGUACAAUGAACUAUUUGUUGAACUUUUAAAAUAU